RNAcentral lists this transfer RNA (78 nucleotides) under Caudoviricetes sp. RNAcentral's name for it is "tRNA-Leu". It matches the Rfam family "tRNA". From Rfam's summary of the family: Transfer RNA (tRNA) molecules are approximately 80 nucleotides in length. Their secondary structure includes four short double-helical elements and three loops (D, anti-codon, and T loops). The record is from RNAcentral. Lineage: Duplodnaviria; Heunggongvirae; Uroviricota; Caudoviricetes.
GGGAAUGUAGCCAAAUGGUAAGGCGAGUACUUUAACAGGUACGGAGGAUUUGCAAGUUCGAUUCUUGCCAUUCCCUCA